Lingula anatina is the source of this 530-nucleotide long non-coding RNA. Lineage: Eukaryota; Metazoa; Brachiopoda; Lingulata; Lingulida; Lingulidae. The record is from RefSeq and is a predicted model, not a curated record.
UGGCCCAGUGGAGACAGUGUCCGACCCAAAGACUUGGCAAGAGCUGGUUUCUUCUACGUGGGCACGGAGGACCGAGUACAGUGUGCCUUCUGUGAGGGGGUAUUAAGGAAUUGGGAACUAGGUGACCAACCAAUACAGGAACACCGCAAAUAUCUUUCCACAUGUCCGUUCGUAUUAGGACUGGAAGUCGGGAACAUUCCUGUGGAAGAACCAGGCACAGCUCUUCCUCUUGCUGUGUCGGAAUCACAAAGUCACGCUGUGGGAGGCAGCGCAACAGGAUCCGAGAAUGCCACAACUGGACCCACACUGGGAAUACUAACAGCGAGACCUAGACACGAGAGAUACGCCACUGAACACGCCAGAGUUCAGACCUUUGUUAACUGGCCGCCAUCUCGUAUUCCGUGCCCUGAAACUCUUGCCAGUGCCGGGUUUUUUUACGCUGGCUUUGGUGACAACGUGAAAUGUUUCUUCUGUGACGGUGGACUAAGGAAUUGGGAACCUCAAGACGACCCUUGGGUCGAGCAUGCGCG